RNAcentral lists this ribosomal RNA (253 nucleotides) under uncultured bacterium. Its description in RNAcentral is "partial 16S ribosomal RNA". It matches the Rfam family "Bacterial small subunit ribosomal RNA", at positions 524 to 776 of the family's 1533-position model. The record is from RNAcentral.
UACGUAGGGACCGAGCGUUGUCCGGAAUCAUUGGGCGUAAAGGGCGCGUAGGCGGCUAGAUGUGUCAAAGGUGAAAUCCCUCGGCUCAACUGAGGAACUGCCUUUGAAACUGUCUGGCUUGAGGCCGGGAGAGGGUAGCGGAAUUCCCAGUGUAGCGGUGAAAUGCGUAGAUAUUCGCAAGAACACCAGUGGCGAAGGCAGCUCACUGGCCCGUUACUGACGCUGAGGCACGAAAGCGUGGGGAGCAAACAGG